This 492-nucleotide ribosomal RNA is filed under the name uncultured bacterium. RNAcentral's name for it is "partial 16S ribosomal RNA". It matches the Rfam family "Bacterial small subunit ribosomal RNA", at positions 29 to 507 of the family's 1533-position model. The record is from RNAcentral.
AGUGAACGCUGGCGGUAGGCCUAACACAUGCAAGUCGAACGGCAGCACAGUAAGAGCUUGCUCUUACGGGUGGCGAGUGGCGGACGGGUGAGGAAUACAUCGGAAUCUACUUUUUCGUGGGGGAUAACGUAGGGAAACUUACGCUAAUACCGCAUACGACCUACGGGUGAAAGCAGGGGAUCUUCGGACCUUGCGCGAUUGAAUGAGCCGAUGUCGGAUUAGCUAGUUGGCGGGGUAAAGGCCCACCAAGGCGACGAUCCGUAGCUGGUCUGAGAGGAUGAUCAGCCACACUGGAACUGAGACACGGUCCAGACCCCUACGGGAGGCAGCAGUGGGGAAUAUUGGACAAUGGGCGCAAGCCUGAUCCAGCCAUACCGCGUGGGUGAAGAAGGCCUUCGGGUUGUAAAGCCCUUUUGUUGGGAAAGAAAAGCAGCAGGUUAAUACCCCGCUGUCCUGACGGUACCCAAAGAAUAAGCACCGGCUAACUUCGUG